UGGGGAAUUUUGGACAAUGGGCGCAAGCCUGAUCCAGCUAUUCCGCGUGUGGGAUGAAGGCCCUCGGGUUGUAAACCACUUUUGUAGAGAACGAAAAGACACCUUCGAAUAAAGGGUGUUGCUGACGGUACUCUAAGAAUAAGCACCGGCUAACUACGUGCCAGCAGCCGCGGUAAUACGUAGGGUGCGAGCGUUAAUCGGAAUUACUGGGCGUAAAGGGUGCGCAGGCGGUUGAGUAAGACAGAUGUGAAAUCCCCGAGCUUAACUCGGGAAUGGCAUAUGUGACUGCUCGACUAGAGUGUGUCAGAGGGAGGUGGAAUUCCACGUGUAGCAGUGAAAUGCGUAGAUAUUGCGCAGAACUCCGAUUGCGAAGGCAGCGUACUGGCGCCUGACUGACGCUGAGGCACGAAAGCGUGGGGGAUCGAACAGGAUUAGAUACCC
Molecule: ribosomal RNA, 441 nt
Filed under: uncultured bacterium
Lineage: Bacteria
Description: bacterial SSU rRNA
Rfam family: Bacterial small subunit ribosomal RNA
Source: RNAcentral